This 68-nucleotide transfer RNA is filed under the name Marmota monax (woodchuck). RNAcentral describes it as "tRNA.Ala". The stretch from base 3 to 63 matches the Rfam family "tRNA", at positions 6 to 65 of the family's 71-position model. Rfam says of the family: Transfer RNA (tRNA) molecules are approximately 80 nucleotides in length. Lineage: Eukaryota; Metazoa; Chordata; Mammalia; Rodentia; Sciuridae. The record is from RNAcentral.
GCUGUAGCUCAGGGGUAGAGCACUUGCCUGGCAUGUGUGAGGCCCUGGGUUCCAUCCCCAGCACUGCA